AGACGGAGGGGGCGAGCGUUGUUCGGAAUUACUGGACGUAAAGGGCGCGUAGGCGGCCAGCCAAGUCAGGGGUGAAAGGCCUGGGCUCAACCUGGGAACGGCCUCUGAAACUGGCGGGCUUGAGGGCGAGAGAGGAUGGCGGAAUUCCCAGUGUAGAGGUGAAAUUCGUAGAUAUUGGGAAGAACACCGGUGGCGAAGGCGGCCAUCUGGCUCGCAACUGACGCUGAGGCGCGAAAGCGUGGGGAGCAAACAGGAUUAGAAACCCCGGUAGUCC
This 274-nucleotide ribosomal RNA is filed under the name uncultured bacterium. RNAcentral's name for it is "partial 16S ribosomal RNA". It matches the Rfam family "Bacterial small subunit ribosomal RNA", at positions 523 to 796 of the family's 1533-position model. The record is from RNAcentral.